AUUAGGGUGGCAGAGACCGGAUAUUGCAUAAAACUUAAACUUUUAUUAAACAGAGGUUCA
This 60-nucleotide transfer RNA is filed under the name Catagonus wagneri (Chacoan peccary). RNAcentral describes it as "partial tRNA-Leu". Lineage: Eukaryota; Metazoa; Chordata; Mammalia; Artiodactyla; Tayassuidae. The record is from RNAcentral.